This 338-nucleotide ribosomal RNA is filed under the name Salmonella enterica subsp. enterica serovar Dublin. Its description in RNAcentral is "bacterial LSU rRNA". It matches the Rfam family "Bacterial large subunit ribosomal RNA", at positions 368 to 709 of the family's 2925-position model. The record is from RNAcentral. Lineage: Bacteria; Pseudomonadati; Pseudomonadota; Gammaproteobacteria; Enterobacterales; Enterobacteriaceae.
CAGCCCCGUACACAAAAGCGCAUGUGCUGUGAGCUCGAUGAGUAGGGCGGGACACGUGGUAUCCUGUCUGAAUAUGGGGGGACCAUCCUCCAAGGCUAAAUACUCCUGACUGACCGAUAGUGAACCAGUACCGUGAGGGAAAGGCGAAAAGAACCCCGGCGAGGGGAGUGAAAAAGAACCUGAAACCGUGUACGUACAAGCAGUGGGAGCACAGGUUUACCUGUGUGACUGCGUACCUUUUGUAUAAUGGGUCAGCGACUUAUAUUCUGUAGCAAGGUUAACCGAAUAGGGGAGCCGGAGGGAAACCGAGUCUUAAUUGGGCGUUAAGUUGCAGGGUA